RNAcentral lists this long non-coding RNA (1047 nucleotides) under Triticum aestivum (bread wheat). RNAcentral's name for it is "long non-coding RNA (TAES_LNC007165)". Lineage: Eukaryota; Viridiplantae; Streptophyta; Magnoliopsida; Poales; Poaceae. The record is from RNAcentral.
AGAUCCUUCCCUCCGCACCGCCCCUCCGCGACUCCUCUCCCGUUCCCCAUCGCGCCCCCGCCCAAGCGCCGCGCCGCCGGAACCCCAGGCGCGCCCUCCUCCGGACGGCGCUCGCCCUCCUCCCCCGUCCCCGGCCGUCUCUCUCUCUCCGUGUCGUCCGAGGCGGCGCAUCUACCGGGGAUCCAGCGAUGGUGAGUUCGUUCGUCCUUCUGUACUUGUGCUCUCCCUCCUCCUACACGCUCGCCUCUCUAGCUAGCAACGGCUCGUGGCCAGGAUUUGAGCCGGCGGGGCGGCUGGAUCCGUUGGAGCCGGACACAGGGGCUUGGGUGGAGUGAGUGGCCGGUGAUUAAGGACUAGGCGGCGGCUAUGCACAUGUGGCUGGUGCAUGCAUGAGCAAGAGAAAUGGAUGUCUGCGCAUGUGGCUGGUGCAUGCAUGAGCAAGUCAGCAAGAGUAGUCUGCCCUCCUUCUCUUCAUAGGAAAUUUCUUGCUGUUCCAGAUUCUUGCAUGCUAAUUUGUUGGCAGAACUUCUGAUUACGUAAUAGCUAGAUUUUGUAUUAUUUUUUGUUAACAGAACGGGCGGUGAUGGUUAAAAGAAAACCAUCGAUGCAUUUUACAUAAGAAAGAGAGUUAUGUGAAGAACAUUAACUGAAUCAGAACACCCUGUUCAGCCUCCGCUUUUGUUGUAGAUGUUCUUGUGCAAAUUUAGAGCAUUAAGAAACGAAGAGCUGAUCUAUAUAGUGUGAUCAACUCAAUACUUCAUCAUUAAAUAAUAUUUUGGUACAAUUUCAUUUUCUGGAUGCGCUACUGAAUCUUCUCUUCGAGCAGAGCACCCGCGAUGGACGGAGACGGCUUCGAUAUGUGGGGUUCGCAGCCGUAUUGUAGUACAAAGCAAACUAGAAUUAUUGUUGCUUGUAUGGCUCUUCAUAAUUUCAUUCGAGAGAGCAGAAUUCCGAACCCUUGGUUUGUAAAUAUCAUUUGUUUGUGUCAAUUGUGAGUGGGAGGAGGCCACAUAAGAGCUGGCCACACCAAAUCCGGAAGGAAAUAGG